ACAAAAAUAUAGAUGACCAUCUUAGCCACCUGCGCUCUAGGGACACUGAUUGUUGUCAGCUUAGUCCUUGUUUCUGGGUCUUUCCAACAGAGUGAGGGGAUAUAGAUGUGGCAAUAAGCUCCCUGCAUUCACAUUGAUCAUCAGUUCAAAUUCAGCACUACAGAGCUUUGAGGACCCUCUUUCAAUACUCUCUGUCAUGUGUGUACCUCCUCUUUCUUUCCUUUUCUCCUUUUUCCCCUUGUUUUUGCAGAGCUGGGGAUAGAACCCAGGGCCUCACAAUGCAAGUGCUGACCACUGAGCCACACCCCCCGCCCUGCCUGUCUUUCUCAAGAGGAAACGAGCCUGGACCACAGAAGAGCUCAGGGACUCGGGCUGCUGAAGAGGAGAUGGCCCGUGAUCACACCCACUGGACCGUGCUCUCAGGAUCACAGCACCAGUACUGCCGGGAACAUACUCAGGUUGUUUGGGAGCGUGUGCCCUCCAUUCUCUCUCCAUUUGAAAUAAGAGUCAUUUAAUUGGGGUGUGGUGGGGAUCGCAUCUGUGCUCCCAGCUGCUCCGGAGGCUGAGGGCCUGGCCAACACAGGGAGACUCUGCCUCAAAAUAAAAAAUAGUAAGGGCUGGGGGAGUAGCCCAGGGCCGAGAGCCUGCCACCACGUGUGAGGCCCUGGGUCCCAGGCCCAGUUCCACACACACACACACACACACACACACCCGCUGUCCCUGCGUGUGCCGGCAGAGCAUACCUCAUUCUUCCCACGUGGUAAGGUUUAGAUGUGAGGUGUCCCCAGAAGCUCGUGUGUGUUAUGUAGGGUGACUGUAGGCAGGAAGGCUGUGGCU
Molecule: long non-coding RNA, 837 nt
Filed under: Marmota monax (woodchuck)
Lineage: Eukaryota; Metazoa; Chordata; Mammalia; Rodentia; Sciuridae
Source: RNAcentral